CAAAGAGAAAUACCAUAAAGACAAGUUUUUAUUUUAUUUUAAAAUACCAGUACUUUGGAAAAUGUACCAAAAUAUAGCAAAAUUUAUAGUAUUUAAUUAGGGAGGGUCUUUAAAAUUUUAUUAAGAAUUACUAAGCCGAAACUAAAUGGGUUGGCUGAUUUUAUAGCCAUAAACUAGUUGUAUUCUCAGCUUUUCUCCCCAACCUUUUUGCCCCUGAAAAUUCCACCAUAAACUUAGAUAAUUCUCACAAUUGCAACAUGUACUUUCAGAUUCAUCCUUAAAACUACGCAUCCAAUUGAACCGGCCAAUAAACCAGUAUCACAUAACCCGGUUUGAUUUAAUUCAAAUUUAACCAAAUUUAAACCCGAUUUUGACCCGAAUCUUUUCUUCUUCACCAGAUUUUGACCCGAUUUAUUUUUUCUUCUUCCUCUUCAUGAAGAGACGUCGUCUGGGCGUGGCUUCUCCGACGAGCCACAGCAACAGCAUCGUCGGGAGCAUGAGCAGCUUCCUCCGUCAAGCAUUCUCACGCCGUAAUCACCAGCGUUGGCAUCGCCGGAAAAAAAAGUCAAAAUCAAAAAUAGAAUUUCACCAACAAGCCUUUUCGAGCCACAGCAACAGCAUCGUCGAGAGCAUGAGCAGCUUCCUCCGUCAAGCAUUCUCUCGCCGUAAUCACCAGCGUUGGCAUCGCCGGAAAAAAAGUCAAAAUCAAAAACUGGGAGAAUAAUUGCAAAUUUGAUUGUGAUGGGUUUUGGGAUUAUUGGUCGUUCUGGGAAUGAAGAUGAAAAAGAAGAAAACAAAUUCUGGUCAAAAUCGGGUGAAGAGGAAGAAGAUUCGGGUCAAAAUCAGGUUUAAAUUUGGUUAAAUUUGAAUUAAAUCAAACCGGGUUAUGUGGUACCGGUUUAUUGGCCGGUUCAAUUGGAGGCGUAGUUUUAAAGAUGAAUCCGAAAGUACAUGUUGCAAUUGUGAGAAUUAUCUAAGUUUAUGGUGGAAUUUUCAGAGGCAAAAAGGUUGGGGGAAAAAUCUGAGAAUGCAACUAGUUUAUGGCUAUAAAAUCAGCCAACCCAAACUAAAUUCGUAAAACUAUUUCCUCAGUUUUAGAUUAAACCGUUUAAAAUUCUCUCCUAACCAUUUUAGAAGAGAAUUUUGGAAAAUAAAACAUGAAAUGUUGUAUUUUUGUAUACUUCAAAAUUUUGAAACGCACAAA
Arabidopsis lyrata subsp. lyrata is the source of this 1204-nucleotide long non-coding RNA. RefSeq lists it as uncharacterized. The transcript is spliced from 2 exons. NCBI's taxonomy places the organism in Eukaryota, Viridiplantae, Streptophyta, Magnoliopsida, Brassicales, Brassicaceae. The record is from RefSeq and is a predicted model, not a curated record.